CAAGCAGGACGGGCGGCCGCCGUUCCGGUCUGGAAAUUUCAGAUCGGGAGGGAGGAAAGUCCGGGCACCACCAGGCAGGAUGCCCGCUAACAGCGGGGCGGGGCGACCCGACGGACAGUGCCACAGAAACAUACCGCCUUGAUUGAGCGGCGACGCGAUUUCGGGGCAAGGGUGAAAUGGCGAGGUAAGAGCUCACCGCCCUGCCGGUGACGGCAGGGGCAGGGUAAACCCCAUCCGGUGCAAGGCCAAAUAGGGGGACGCAGGCGUCUGGCCAGUCCCCGGGUUGGCCGCUUGAUCCUUCCAGUAAUGGAAGGACUAGAUGGAUGACCGCACAGGGUUUGAUCGCGGGGAAGAAGGCUUGAUCGUAAACCCGCGAUCGGACCCGGACAGAACCCGGCUUACAGUCCGGCUUGCUUC
This 417-nucleotide RNase P RNA is filed under the name Dehalococcoidia bacterium. RNAcentral describes it as "RNase P RNA component class A". It matches the Rfam family "Bacterial RNase P class A". From Rfam's summary of the family: Ribonuclease P (RNase P) is a ubiquitous endoribonuclease, found in archaea, bacteria and eukarya as well as chloroplasts and mitochondria. Lineage: Bacteria; Bacillati; Chloroflexota; Dehalococcoidia. The record is from RNAcentral.